This 273-nucleotide non-coding RNA is filed under the name Chlorobium phaeobacteroides. The record is from RNAcentral. RNAcentral also lists the same sequence under 1 other name. Lineage: Bacteria; Pseudomonadati; Chlorobiota; Chlorobiia; Chlorobiales; Chlorobiaceae.
ACUGUUCUUUUUCUUUCUGGUGCCGGAUGUAAGGAUCCGGAUAAUAGGGAAGUACGCGAUAUUCGUACACUGUUCCCGCAACUGUUUGACGGUAAGCUGAACAAGGGCUGUAAACGGCUCCGUUUUCAUCGAUUGUUCAGCAGGAUUAAACCACUCCGUUGCUUAGGCAUUUUCCACCCUGGAAUGCGGGGGAAGGUUUAACUGUUUUUACGCCUGUUCGUUACGCAGGCAGCCGUUCAAAGUCAGGAGACCUGCCAGAAAGCCACUGCCGUA